This 240-nucleotide unclassified non-coding RNA is filed under the name soil metagenome. RNAcentral describes it as "partial contains 5.8S ribosomal RNA, internal transcribed spacer 2, and large subunit ribosomal RNA". The record is from RNAcentral.
AACGAGGCCGACCUGCGGCUGAGUUACCUGCGUAGGGAUCAUUACACAAUACAAUAUGAAGGCUGUCCGCAGCUGGAGUAUUUUAUUACCCUUGUCUUUUGCGCACUUGUUGUUUCCUGGGCGGGUUCGCUCGCCACCAGGACCACCAAAUAAACCUUUUUUAUGCAGUUGCAAUCAGCGUCAGUACAAACAAUGUAAAUCAUUUACAACUUUUAGCAAUGGAUCUCAGAUCGGAAGAGC